Long non-coding RNA from Pyrus x bretschneideri (Chinese white pear), 1387 nucleotides. RefSeq lists it as uncharacterized. The record is from RefSeq and is a predicted model, not a curated record. NCBI's taxonomy places the organism in Eukaryota, Viridiplantae, Streptophyta, Magnoliopsida, Rosales, Rosaceae. The transcript is spliced from 7 exons.
CAGCCACAACACCAUCUCUGGAAUAGCAUCGGCACCUGCUUCCUAAAACCAAAACCACACAAACUCGGCUUCAUUUCUGUAACUCGACAGCUUCGAUGAGAUGAAGGAGAAGAGCAGAGAGAUGGGCUCGAGUCGGCGGGCGGAAGAGAUCUUCAGGGAUUACAGUGGUCGGAGAACCAACGCCGUCCACGCUUUAACUAACGAGAGAGAGAGGUCGAGCAAGGUUUCGUUGAUUUCAGUCAACUUGGGCUACCCCCAUCGUCCGGUAAGAUCCCUCGGUGAUCCCUUCGCUCGCUUAUGUCGUCUUUCGCAUCAGGAAGGCUCGUGCGUGGUUUUUUGGGUGGGGAUUUCAGAUUUCAAGCGGGAGAGAGGCUGUGCUUCGUUACGAUCGGGCCGAGCUUCUAUCUGCAAAUCGAGGCCCCGGUGAAGCAUAAGCAUUACAGGCCUGCGGGAAAGAAAAAGGAAGGAAAUGCCGCUAGGUGCGUCACCAGGUCACAAGUUGUCAAGCAGCUUCAAGUCAGUCUUCCCCUCUUCAGGGUUUAGGGUUUGUGCAUUAUUCGGAUUUGGCGUUAGUUUCUGUUAUCCAGAUUUUGUAUCUUUAUGUGGAAAUGAGUCGUAGCUGGUAAAUGAGAAGCAGAGUAAGCAAAUUACGGAGAUACCUCCAGAAGAGUAUAAAAUGCCCCUGGUAUGGAUUGACUUGGAAAUGGCUGGUGAGGGUAAAAUAAUUCCUUGGAGUGAAGCUCCUUAUAAGGAUGCUGCAGGGAGAACGGCAUCUGGGAAUUUACCUCUUAAUGCAUUUUUGUCUGAGUGGGCCCUCAUGACACUGUUAAAUCCAAACCGAAGUUUGGCGAAUUUGAUAUAUGUUGGAUACAAUGGCAGUCCUGCUUCAGCUAUCCAUGUUACUAGAAGAAGAUCAGUAGAUCGUAAAACACAAAAAACAGAAAGAAAUGUUAGCUGCUUCGUUUUUGGUCCUAAAAAUGCAGGAAAAUCCCCUCUUUUAAAUUCAUUUAUAGGAAGGUAUGGCUUUCCCCCUUCACUAUACUCAACAUAGUUAAUUAGUUCCGUAUAUUAUAAAUGUGAAGAGAAAGGGUACUACCAUACCUAAUCCCAUUUUCUGAAUCUUUGGUAUAACAAAAUUUAUUGGGUGAUAACUUCCUAGCUCUCAGACGUUGUUAUCGUUCUACACAAAUGAACUAUUUUGCUCCUGAAACUACCCAAUUUUCUUUUCUUUUUUCUUUUCAAACUGAGACAAAGCUCACCGUGUCUGCUAUCCCUUUCCUGUUUGACUCUGGUCUAUCGUCCAUUUAGAAAAUAUUUGUGGUGACUGUAGAUUUAUUCUUUCAUUUGGCUUUGUUAAUUUGUUGUUGCCAAUUUUGACCUCAGGCCU